GUGGGGAAUAUUGGACAAUGGGCGCAAGCCUGAUCCAGCCAUACCGCGUGGGUGAAGAAGGCCUUCGGGUUGUAAAGCCCUUUUGUUGGGAAAGAAAUCCUGUCGGUUAAUACCUGGCGGGGAUGACGGUACCCAAAGAAUAAGCACCGGCUAACUUCGUGCCAGCAGCCGCGGUAAUACGAAGGGUGCAAGCGUUACUCGGAAUUACUGGGCGUAAAGCGUGCGUAGGUGGUGGUUUAAGUCCGUUGUGAAAGCCCUGGGCUCAACCUGGGAAUUGCAGUGGAUACUGGAUCACUAGAGUGUGGUAGAGGGAUGCGGAAUUUCUGGUGUAGCAGUGAAAUGCGUAGAGAUCAGAAGGAACAUCCGUGGCGAAGGCGGCAUCCUGGGCCAAAACUGACACUGAGGCACGAAAGCGUGGGGAGCAAACAGGAUUAGAUACCCUUGUAGUCC
This 450-nucleotide ribosomal RNA is filed under the name uncultured bacterium. RNAcentral describes it as "bacterial SSU rRNA". It matches the Rfam family "Bacterial small subunit ribosomal RNA", at positions 354 to 796 of the family's 1533-position model. The record is from RNAcentral.